This 57-nucleotide small nuclear RNA is filed under the name Cavia porcellus (domestic guinea pig). Lineage: Eukaryota; Metazoa; Chordata; Mammalia; Rodentia; Caviidae. The record is from RNAcentral.
GUGCUCACUUCGGCAGCACAUAUACCUAAAUUGGAACGACACAGGGAAGAUUAGCAU